GUCCAGGCGGUUGGCCCGGUGGAGGUCCUGGAGGAGACGGUCCCGGCGGUGGAGGACGGCUGGGGGAUCCGGCGGUGGAGGUCCGAAGGCGGCUCGUGAUUAGACCAACCAGCUCCUCAUCCAUGGAAGGAUUGAAGGAGUCACUGGGGAUGAAGAUCACUGCUCAGGGGCUGACGACCACUCAUCUUUCCGGAGAAGCGUCCUCAUGGUGCAGGCGGUCAAACCUCCACCUCUUUGAAGAGACCAAGCAGCUUGAUGACUGACUGGUUCUUUAUACUCAAGACCUCGUCCCGGAGAAGAGGACGGACCUAAGGCCCGCAGCGCAGCCGACUAGAGACUCCAUGUGGAACCGGUAAGAUACUGGAUUGACCAUCUUGAAGACAUUUUCAUUUAUUCAACAAGGUUCAAUUAAGUUGACCUCUCCUUCAGGCGACUUAAAGGGAGACCAGAUGUGCGGCAGCUGGGUGUCAUGGUGCAGAGACCCAACGCUGUACUGAACUACACCAGUGUGUCCUCCCAUAAACCCUGAGGAUCCCUGGAUGGCUACACCAGCACAUUAAUCCACACCCAACAUCAACACACAGUGCACACUCUAUAGAGCUCGUAAGUCCGCCCCUUGCGGCGGGACCUCGUGAGAUCGUAAGUUAUGACUGGGUUUCAAUGGAGAGAAAGUAAUUAUUUUCUCCAUUUUAUGUUGCACCACAUUUUGGGGGAAGAAUGUUUGAAUCAAUCUUUGUCAUUUAUUUCUGUACUCCAUAUCUGUAAUCCCAGCUGUUGUAUUUUAACACGGUAGCUGGGAACCCUCUUUAUAGGGAGCGACUAGAGGGACGAGGCUGGAAGCAAACCUGAGCCUGGAUCUUAACCUUCUUUCUAAACCUAAUGCCGCAAUUUAAACGCAAAUAAAGUGAGGCCUAAAGUAACUUGACUCUCUUACCUAAACUUGCUUGCCUAAACUCGCUUGUCUAAACUCGCCUGCAUAAAACCUAAACUCGCUUGCAUAAAACCUGAACUUGCUUGGCUAAACUCACGUCGCUUGCCUAAUACCUGAACUUGCUUGCCUAAACUCGCUUGCCUAAUACCUGAACUCGCUUGCCUAAACUCGCUUGCCUAAACUCGCUUGCCUAAACUCGCUUGCCUAAACUCGCUUGCCUAAAACCUAAACUCGCUUGCAUAAAACCUAAACUCGCUUAGCUUGACUCGCUUGCCUGUACUCGCUUGGCUAAACUCGCAUGCCUAAUACCUGAAGUCGCUUGCCUGAAGUCGCAUGCCUAAUACCUGAAGUCGCUUGCCUAAAACCUAAACUUGCUUGUCCAAACACGUUACACAAAGUUAACCAUCCAUAAUCUUUAACCCAAACCAGACUUGUCCCUGGGUCGCUCCACUUUAAUUUAGAAAUUUCUUCUUUUACCUCAUCUGCGUUUUGAGUUGUCCCGUGAGCUCCAGGCUCUCUGUGGGCCUGUCAACGUCUCUUUAGCAAAAGGUUGGAGAGUGAAAUUCAUUUUUGUGCCAUUUUCAUGUGUUCCUGAGUAUUUCAGACCUGUGGUGUUUCACAUGAGACCUUAAUGGGAACUUUUAUUUUUCUUCCUGCAUACGUAAUGCCUACAUUAGUAGGGUGAUCACUGUUGAUCCCAAUAUUGAUCAUUAACCACCUCAUUCUUUGGGAUUACAAAUCAUGUAAUUUAUGAGCAUAUUUGCAAAUGCCUCCAAAUAUCAGAUUGUGUAAAAACGAAUGAAAUGUAACCUGCUUGAUUUAAAGAAAAUAAAACAUCCAAAUAUUAUAAA
Molecule: long non-coding RNA, 1782 nt
Organism: Gadus macrocephalus (Pacific cod)
Lineage: Eukaryota; Metazoa; Chordata; Actinopteri; Gadiformes; Gadidae
Exons: 5
Source: RefSeq, a predicted model, not a curated record